This 253-nucleotide ribosomal RNA is filed under the name uncultured bacterium. RNAcentral describes it as "partial 16S ribosomal RNA". It matches the Rfam family "Bacterial small subunit ribosomal RNA", at positions 524 to 776 of the family's 1533-position model. The record is from RNAcentral.
UACAGAGGUCUCAAGCGUUGUUCGGAUUCAUUGGGCGUAAAGGGUGUGUAGGCGGUUCUUUAAGUUUGGUGUGAAAUCUCCCGGCUCAACCGGGAGGGUGCGCCGAAAACUGGGGGACUAGAGUGCGGGAUGGGAGAGUAGAAUUCCUGGUGUAGCGGUGAAAUGCGUAGAUAUCAGGAGGAAUACCGGUGGUGUAGACGGCUCUCUGGACCGCCACUGACGCUGAGACACGAAAGCGUGGGUAGCAAACAGG